AACUGAACGCAACGUUAACGUUCUUUCUUUAGUUUGUGUAUCUGCAGUAUGAAGGUGACUGGAAGAGCUGUUCGUGGUUUACGGUCUGUUUUGCAGACGCUAGUUCAGCUUGCUCAAAAAUCGACAAAAGGUACAGGCAAGAUGGAGACUCCCAUAGUACCCGGUUAAGAAGGUAUGCAACUGUUGCUGUGUAUGGAGCACUUUUUGGAUAUUUGACUGGCAGCAGGAGGCUACACAGUUCCACGAAAAAACUCUGGCCUGACAAGUUUGCUAUGAAUUAUAAACUUGAGGUAUUCAGAUGGAGAAUGUCAAAGAAGCAGGAACAAAGCUGCCACCAGAGCCUUUAAUACAUCUGCUGACUUCACUUCACAGAAGUAAACUCAAGCCUUGGAAGGAAGCUACCCAACUGAACAAAAAGGAGCUCUGACUUUCAAUGUUCUUGCUUUCUGGGUUGGAGGAAGCAAGUGGCGGGUUAUUGAAAAAUAAAAACUUUACCAUGA
Protopterus annectens (West African lungfish) is the source of this 500-nucleotide long non-coding RNA. RefSeq lists it as uncharacterized. Lineage: Eukaryota; Metazoa; Chordata; Ceratodontiformes; Protopteridae. The transcript is spliced from 4 exons. The record is from RefSeq and is a predicted model, not a curated record.